RNAcentral lists this ribosomal RNA (492 nucleotides) under uncultured bacterium. Its description in RNAcentral is "partial 16S ribosomal RNA". It matches the Rfam family "Bacterial small subunit ribosomal RNA", at positions 29 to 507 of the family's 1533-position model. The record is from RNAcentral.
AGUGAGCGCUGGCGGUAGGCCUAACACAUGCAAGUCGAACGGCAGCACAGUAAGAGCUUGCUCUUACGGGUGGCGAGUGGCGGACGGGUGAGGCAUACAUCGGAAUCUACUUUUUCGUGGGGGAUCACGUAGGGAAACUUACGCUAAUACCGCAUACGACCUACGGGUGAAAGCAGGGGAUCUUCGGACCUUGCGCGAUUGAAUGAGCCGAUGUCGGAUUAGCUAGUUGGCGGGGUAAAGGCCCACCAAGGCGACGAUCCGUAGCUGGUCUGAGAGGAUGAUCAGGCACACUGGAACUGGGACACGGUCCAGACUCCGACGGGAGGCAGCAGUGGGGAAUAUUGGACAAUGGGCGCAAGCCUGAUCCAGCCAUACCGCGUGGGUGAAGAAGGCCUUCGGGUUGUAAAGCGCUUUUGUUGGGAAAGAAAAGCAGCAGGUUAAUACCCCGCUGUUCUGACGGUACCCAAAGAAUAAGCACCGGCUAACUUCGUG